CUGCCCGUGUCAGCAAUCCGCUCUCACCCCAUGCUAGCCCCACCCCGUUCCCUCGGGCUUAUACUGUCAAGCACUUCCUCAUUAAAUCAGACCUGCGCCGUCAGCCUCGUCUCCGUGUGGGUUCUUCCCCUCGUCCUUACUUGCCUGCGGCCCCUCUGCGGACUCCUCACCCAGCGAGCCGCAACCUCAUCAUUGGAGAGUGGAUGUAACUCAGUGGGACUGAUGCUGUUACAGCUACAUUAA
RNAcentral lists this long non-coding RNA (243 nucleotides) under Dasypus novemcinctus (nine-banded armadillo). RNAcentral describes it as "lncRNA (ENSDNOG00000051769.1)". Lineage: Eukaryota; Metazoa; Chordata; Mammalia; Cingulata; Dasypodidae. The record is from RNAcentral.